GGAAGCCAUCCUGAAACACACACAUCCAAACAAAACCACAACACAGAAACUGGGGCACAUAACAAUUUGUUUGUUUCAGUGUGUUGUUCCACUCUCUUUACCAUCUGACACUUUGUCCCUGUUGAUCCACAUACCUACCCUGCUUCUGGAGACCCGGGGAGUCUCCUGACCAGAGGGCUUUGACUCCCCAGGAACGUCUUCACCACUCUGGGUUGUCCCAAUCCUGUUGGUCUGAGACCACUGAUGUCUACUCUCUUAAUAGGAACGAGGAGCUCUAAAGUAGCUGAAACCACCUCUCGGAUUGGGUAUUGCCUCACUUGAAAGCCUGGAGCCAAUCGUUCCAGUCUGGUUAUAAUCACUAUGACAACCCUGGCUACCUGUCAGUUACGAGUUCUACCUCUGUCUCGUGUGCUAGUUUGCCUAAUUUGUCUAAUUUGCUUGAUUUUGCAUUGGAUUGGUUUGUUUGAGUAUUGUUUCACUCUCUUUACCAUCUGUCACGUUAUCCUUGUUGAUCCACAAAGUCACCCUGUGUCUGGACUCCUGACUCCAGCAGAGCAGGGAGCCCCAAGCAGUCCAACAGCUCCAGGGAGACUCUUAACCAGAGGACUUGGACUCCCCAGGACUGUCCCCAUUGCUUUUUAACUCCUGAGGAUGAUGUGUUGUACUAGUUAAAUAAAAUGUAACAUGUGAACAACCACCAGGUUCUUCCUGGAGUCCCGGGACAUUCCCUGCCGCUCUGCAACUCAUGUGGACAAUGAAGAGGUUGAGAUCUCUGCAUUCCUACAAGAGACUGAGAGUUGAGUCUCAGUCCAACAAUAGGAAGAGGUGCCACUGCCUGGGGUGUGACGCAGAGGACUGGCCUGCCAGGAAGAGAGCCAGGAAUGAAUGUCCAAUUGGCUCUCAUGGGGCCAUGAGGCACAUUAAUAGAACACAAAAUAGGCACCAGUAUAGAGCUGGAUCACAGUACAACAAGACAUUCAUAAUAAAAUAUUGUGACAUUUUUUCCCUUAGAUUUCUGCCUGAGAAAUGCCAUCCAAUACAAUAACUACAACACUUCAAUCCAAUGCAGGAUUAUCUUAAUAAAAAGGUCAAUGUUUUUUCUAUUAAACUACAAAAAUGAUUUUUGACUAGGCAUGACUACACAAUACUGUCCAAAUGAUAUAAUAAUGUAUCUUUAUUUUGUCUGAUGAAUAAGGGUUUUAUAUGUGUGUGUGUAUCAGGAUUUGGGAGUAACUAAAUUCAUGUAAUCCAGUUACAUGUAAUAUGAUGGUUUUUUUAUUAUUAUUUUUUUAAACCUGUAAUCAAUUACGUUGACACCAAC
Oncorhynchus tshawytscha (Chinook salmon) is the source of this 1321-nucleotide long non-coding RNA. Lineage: Eukaryota; Metazoa; Chordata; Actinopteri; Salmoniformes; Salmonidae. The record is from Ensembl.